AUGAACGCUGGCGGCGUGCCUAAUACAUGCAAGUCGAGCGAACGGACGAGAAGCUUGCUUCUCUGAUGUUAGCGGCGGACGGGUGAGUAACACGUGGAUAACCUACCUAUAAGACUGGGAUAACUUCGGGAAACCGGAGCUAAUACCGGAUAAUAUUUUGAACCGCAUGGUUCAAAAGUGAAAGACGGUCUUGCUGUCACUUAUAGAUGGAUCCGCGCUGCAUUAGCUAGUUGGUAAGGUAACGGCUUACCAAGGCAACGAUGCAUAGCCGACCUGAGAGGGUGAUCGGCCACACUGGAACUGAGACACGGUCCAGGCCCCUACGGGAGGCAGCAGUAGGGAAUCUUCCGCAAUGGGCGAAAGCCUGACGGAGCAACGCCGCGUGAGUGAUGAAGGUCUUCGGAUCGUAAAACUCUGUUAUUAGGGAAGAACAUAUGUGUAAGUAACUGUGCACAUCUUGACGGUACCUAAUCAGAAAGCCACGGCUAACUACGUG
This 496-nucleotide ribosomal RNA is filed under the name uncultured bacterium. RNAcentral's name for it is "partial 16S ribosomal RNA". It matches the Rfam family "Bacterial small subunit ribosomal RNA", at positions 29 to 507 of the family's 1533-position model. The record is from RNAcentral.